RNAcentral lists this ribosomal RNA (1087 nucleotides) under uncultured bacterium. RNAcentral describes it as "bacterial SSU rRNA". It matches the Rfam family "Bacterial small subunit ribosomal RNA", at positions 309 to 1413 of the family's 1533-position model. The record is from RNAcentral.
CACAUUGGGACUGAGACACGGCCCAAACUCCUACGGGAGGCAGCAGUGGGGAAUAUUGCACAAUGGGGGAAACCCUGAUGCAGCGACGCCGCGUGAAAGAAGAAGUAUUUCGGUAUGUAAAGCUCUAUCAGCAGGGAAGAAGAAAUGACGGUACCUGACUAAGAAGCACCGGCUAAAUACGUGCCAGCAGCCGCGGUAAUACGUAUGGUGCAAGCGUUAUCCGGAUUUACUGGGUGUAAAGGGAGCGCAGGCGGUACGGCAAGUCUGAUGUGAAAGCCCGGGGCUCAACCCCGGUACUGCAUUGGAAACUGUCGGACUAGAGUGUCGGAGGGGUAAGUGGAAUUCCUAGUGUAGCGGUGAAAUGCGUAGAUAUUAGGAGGAACACCAGUGGCGAAGGCGGCUUACUGGACGAUUACUGACGCUGAGGCUCGAAAGCGUGGGGAGCAAACAAGAUCGAUACCCUGGUAGUCCUCGCCGUAAACGAUGAAUACUAGGUGUCGGGGAGCCCUGUUUUCGGGUGCCGCAGCAAACGCAAUAAGUAUUCCCCCUGGGGAGUACGUUCGCAAGAAAGAAACUCAAAAGAAUUGACGGGGACCCGCACAAGCUGUGGAGCAUGUGGUUUAAUUCGAAGCAACGCGAAGAACCUUACCAAGUCUUGACAUCCCGAUGACAGAACAUGUAAUGUGUUUUCUCUUCGGAGCAUCGGUGACAGGUGGUGCAUGGUUGUCGUCAGCUCGUGUCGUGAGAUGUUGGGUUAAGUCCCGCAACGAGCGCAACCCCUAUUCUUAGUAGCCAGCGGUUCGGCCGGGCACUCUAGGGAGACUGCCAGGGAUAACCUGGAGGAAGGUGGGGAUGACGUCAAAUCAUCAUGCCCCUUAUGACUUGGGCAACACACGUGCUACAAUGGCGUAAACAAAGGGAAGCGAGCUUGCGAGGGGGAGCAAAUCUCAAAAAUAACGUCUCAGUUCGGACUGCAGUCUGCAACUCGACUGCACGAAGCUGGAAUCGCUAGUAAUCGCGAAUCAGAAUGUCGCGGUGAAUACGUUCCCGGGUCUUGCUCUCACCGCCCUUCAAGGGCGAAUUCCAG